GUCGCAUUGGCGCAAUGGUAGCGCGCAAGACUUCUAAUCUUGAGGUUGUGGGUUCGAGUCCCACAUGCGAUG
Molecule: transfer RNA, 72 nt
Filed under: Blumeria graminis f. sp. tritici JIW2
Lineage: Eukaryota; Fungi; Ascomycota; Leotiomycetes; Helotiales; Erysiphaceae
Description: tRNA-Arg (TCT) (tRNA-Arg-TCT-1-1)
Rfam family: tRNA
About the family: Transfer RNA (tRNA) molecules are approximately 80 nucleotides in length. Their secondary structure includes four short double-helical elements and three loops (D, anti-codon, and T loops). Further hydrogen bonds mediate the characteristic L-shaped molecular structure. tRNAs have two regions of fundamental functional importance: the anti-codon, which is responsible for specific mRNA codon recognition, and the 3' end, to which the tRNAs corresponding amino acid is attached (by aminoacyl-tRNA synthetases). tRNAs cope with the degeneracy of the genetic code in two manners: having more than one tRNA (with a specific anti-codon) for a particular amino acid; and 'wobble' base-pairing, i.e. permitting non-standard base-pairing at the 3rd anti-codon position.
Source: RNAcentral